Molecule: non-coding RNA, 77 nt
Organism: Deinococcus peraridilitoris DSM 19664
Lineage: Bacteria; Thermotogati; Deinococcota; Deinococci; Deinococcales; Deinococcaceae
Source: Rfam
CUCCUGAUGCGCAAUGACCUGCCUUCCAUACCCGGUCACCCGGAAGACAGCGAGCCAAUGGUGAGACCGACCAGGAG